GAACCCGGCCGACGCCCCGCCCGGCACCAUCCGCGGGGAUUUCUGCAUCGAGGUUGGCAAGAACUUGAUUCACGGCAGCGACUCGGUGGAGAGUGCCCGCCGCGAGAUCGCGCUCUGGUUCCGCGCAGACGAGCUCCUGUGCUGGGAGGACAGCGCCGGGCACUGGCUGUAUGAGUAGCCCGGCAGGUGCGUGUCGCAGAGGCUCUGACACCCCAGCCUCCUCCAGGGCCCAGGUGGCCGGGCUUCUGGCCCCACCCCGCAGCGCUUGGAACAUCCACCUGUCAGGACGUUGCAUCGAGGGUGGCGCGGGCCUCUCCAAUCCCUGGCGUACAGGGCUUCCUGCCCCAGGAGCUGCUCCAGGUGCCUGCGCGGCUCGCCUGGAAACGUGCCAGGACACUGUCCUGGUGCCCAGCCCAACAUGGUCCAACGUUUCUUUUUAUAAUAAAGUGAAGUCCUCGUUUUCGUGUCGGUUUGGGUCCAGAAACAG
Long non-coding RNA from Mandrillus leucophaeus (drill), 487 nucleotides. RefSeq lists it as uncharacterized. The transcript is spliced from 2 exons. The record is from RefSeq and is a predicted model, not a curated record. NCBI's taxonomy places the organism in Eukaryota, Metazoa, Chordata, Mammalia, Primates, Cercopithecidae.